RNAcentral lists this long non-coding RNA (637 nucleotides) under Fukomys damarensis (Damara mole-rat). RNAcentral's name for it is "lncRNA (ENSFDAG00000027160.1)". Lineage: Eukaryota; Metazoa; Chordata; Mammalia; Rodentia; Bathyergidae. The record is from RNAcentral.
CCAGAACAUGUAGGAGAGAGAAUGUUGGUAGGGAUUCUGGGGACUCGGAAAUCCAUAGCCCAGUGGGGAUACAGCAGCUCACUUAGUCACAGCCCUUCCCCAACCUGGACCUCAGUUCUCUCAUCUGCACAGUGGAAGAAUUAGACUAGACUGGCAUCCAACAAGAUCUCCUGGGGAGGUUCAGAACACCACGCAUGCCUAGUGCCAGCCUCAGGAUGUGUGUCACUGUGUGUCCCUCGGUGGAGACCUAAUGGUGACAGUGAUGGCUGUCAAGGUCCCUCCAGAUCUAGACACUUACCAGUGUGUGUUUUCUGCCCAAAAGGUGCCUUUCAGGAGUUUGCGCCACCCAGGGCUGGACAUACUCCUCCUCAAACAGUCCAGUCACUCAGGAAAUAUCAGUGGAUUCCAACAGAUGGACGUGCCCCGGAGAAGCCCUACUUCCCAAGGCGUGUAUCUCGGAAAACCACUGGGAUGUGGAGUUGGAGCUUCCUGUUUUCCCCAAUCCCCACAGCAAGACAGUGGGCUAAGCGCAUCCUUUGCUCGCACUCACGGACAGGGUCUCAGCUCCACAGGCUGUGCAAGGUAAGGUCAGCCCUCUGGUGCCUGGGAAGGCAAAUUCAGCUGGCCCUGGAGGAGG